Molecule: long non-coding RNA, 655 nt
Filed under: Piliocolobus tephrosceles (Ugandan red Colobus)
Lineage: Eukaryota; Metazoa; Chordata; Mammalia; Primates; Cercopithecidae
Description: lncRNA (ENSPTEG00000009019.1)
Source: RNAcentral
UCGGAGUGGAGACUCAUGAACAUAUGUACCUAUACAUAUAUUAAUCAGUACUAUACAUACUCGCUACACGUUAUAAAACCCCAUUUGUUAGUCUUUUUUUAUACGUUGUAAUUUAUUUUAUUUUAUUUUUUUUUUUAACUGUUAAAAUUGUUUUAUUCCUAUAUAACAUCAUUUUUUUUUUAAAAAAACGUUUUUGUUAGUAUUUACACCUCAACCAUGAUGGGGCCAUUGUAGAUCAGCAGUUACAAAUACAGUUUUAAUAAUAUCAUAAAAAAAAUAAUGUAAGAAAAAAAAUUUACAAAAAUAGUAGCCAAAAAUGUACAUAUAUUUAUUAUUCCACUUCUAAAUAUGAAAAAAAUACAAAAUUUAAAGAAGAGCUAUAUAAAUACCAUUAUAAUCCAUAUAUUGAUGAUGCAAAUAUAAGACCAUAUUUAAUUUUAAAAAGUGAAGUGGAGAAAAUAACACAUGAUAAAAGAUUAAAACGAAAUGUACCAUUAGUAUAUAAAAAAAUAAAACAAAGUUUGUUAUGGAGGUCUAAAAUAAUAAAAAAACAAAACGAUUAUGAUCCUUUUAUUUUAACUAGCGAUAUAUCAGAUAAUGGUCCUACUGUAUUGGGGGAGUAUGUUACUAAUGGAGGGAAUUCCAAUACAGACAU